ACUCAAAUGAAUUGACGGGGACCCGCACAACCGGUGGAGCGUGUGGUUCAAUUCGUUACAAAGCGAAAAACCUUACCAGGGUUUGACAUCUUACCGUUUAUGCCUAUGGAAACACUGGCAAAUCCGCAAGGAUGGUAGGACAGGUGCUGCAUGGCUGUCGUCAGCUCGUGCCGUGAGGUGUUCCCUUAAGUGGGGAAACGAGCGCAACCCCUAUGAAAUGUUACAUAUUCAUUUCAAACUGCUCUUGUUUUACAAGGGAGGAAGGAGGGGUAGAUGUCAAGUCAGCAUGGCCCUUAUACCCUGGGUCACACACACCCUACAAUGGCGAAUAACAACGUGUUGCAAUACGGUAACGUAAAGCUAAUCACUGAAAUUUCGCCUCAGUUCAGAUUGGGGUCUGCAACCCGACCCCAUGAAGUCGGAAUCGGUAGUAAUCGCGGAUCAGCAGGCCGCGGUGAAUACGUUCUCGGGUCUUGUACACACCGCCCGU
RNAcentral lists this ribosomal RNA (490 nucleotides) under uncultured bacterium. RNAcentral describes it as "partial 16S ribosomal RNA". It matches the Rfam family "Bacterial small subunit ribosomal RNA", at positions 899 to 1397 of the family's 1533-position model. The record is from RNAcentral.